AGAAACUGCUUUUGCACAUGUUCUGAAAUUUUUGAGACCAAACAUGACAAAAUGCACUUGAAAAACAAAUCUUAAUUACUUUAAUUACAAUAUUCAAGAUGAUGAUUUUCUCAACAAAAAAUGCAAAAAUAAUGUCAAAUAAAAACUACAAUAGAUUAAUGUGCACAAGUUAUCAGCAAAAGCUCAAAGUAUUUUUACUACCCAAGUAAUCGAG
This 214-nucleotide unclassified non-coding RNA is filed under the name Hevea brasiliensis (rubber tree). The record is from RNAcentral. Lineage: Eukaryota; Viridiplantae; Streptophyta; Magnoliopsida; Malpighiales; Euphorbiaceae.